Pelobates cultripes (western spadefoot toad) is the source of this 668-nucleotide non-coding RNA. The record is from the annotation of a GenBank genome assembly. NCBI's taxonomy places the organism in Eukaryota, Metazoa, Chordata, Amphibia, Anura, Pelobatidae.
CCUUCAUACAGUGUGAAGCGUGUAUCCAAGUGUUCUUCCCAGCCAACUUUACAGAGGUAGCUGUAGUUAAUAGUACUUGGUAUGGACCAUCGAAUCUUGGCUCAAGAGUAUGUUUUCUUAGGAAUUUCUUGACCAUAACCCAAUCACUGGGUAGUAACUUUUGGAUUCUAGAUCUGGAAUAGAAGAAAACACCUGUGCAUGGAUUUUGGUCAAGGCAUGAGAGAGUGCAGUUAUAUAAUCUACCAUUGCAUCUGACUGAAGUUAAAGUUGUUGUGGGAAAUAACAACCUAACCUGGGUGCUGUCCCGAACAAAAUCUCGUAGGGGGAUAGGUUAAACUUCCCCCUUGGGGUAUACCUUACACUAAAGAGUGCUAUGGGGAGACUCUCCGGCCAGGGCAAAUUAGUUUCCUGUGACAUUUUUAGCAUUCUGGCUUUCAGAGUGCCAUUCAUGCGUUCUACCUUACCACUACUCUGUGGGUGAUAGGGUAUGUGGAAAGCAAGGGUCACCCCCAGUGCUGCCCAGAUUUCUCUGGUUAGUAAUGCGGUGAAAGAUGUACCCUGAUCACUUUCAAUCACUUCAGGGACUCCGUAUCUGCAGACAAUUUCGGUGAGUAGGUGUUUAGCGGUAGUCUUUGCGGUAAUGUUGGCAACUGGGAAAGCUUCUGGCC